Molecule: ribosomal RNA, 522 nt
Filed under: uncultured archaeon
Lineage: Archaea
Description: bacterial SSU rRNA
Rfam family: Archaeal small subunit ribosomal RNA
Source: RNAcentral
ACGGGGUGCAGCAGGCGCGAACACUUUACAAUGCGGGAAACCGCGAUAAGGGAACCCCGAGUGCCAGCAUCAAAUGUUGGCUGUCCAGAUGAUCAAAAAUCAUUUGUUAGCAAGGGCCGGGCAAGACCGGUGCCAGCCGCCGCGGUAACACCGGCGGCCCGAGUGGUAGCCGUUUUUAUUGGGUCUAAAGGGUCCGUAGCCGGCCUGAUAAGUCCUUUGGGAAAUCUGGCAGCUUAACUGUCAGGCUUYUAAGGGAUACUGUCAGGCUUGGGACCGGAAGAGGUAAGGGGUACUCCAGGGGUAGGAGUGAAAUCUUGUAAUCCCUGGGGGACCAUCUGUGGCGAAGGCGCCUUACCAGAACGGGUCCGACGGUGAGGGACGAAAGCUAGGGGAGCAAACCGGAUUAGAUACCCGGGUAGUCCUAGCUGUAAACGAUGCUCGCUAGGUGUCAGACACGGUGCGACCGUGUUUGGUGCCGCAGGGAAGCCGUUAAGCGAGCCACCUGGAAGUACGUCGCAAGGC